AAUCCAUGCUGUGGGCACUUCUGCAAUAGAUGCUUGAAUCGCUCUCAUGUCUCAAACAAGGACUCGAGCUCCAUCUGAACAAAUAAUGAUAUCUCAUUAUGAAGUUU
Molecule: small nucleolar RNA, 107 nt
Organism: Dioscorea cayenensis subsp. rotundata (Guinea yam)
Lineage: Eukaryota; Viridiplantae; Streptophyta; Magnoliopsida; Dioscoreales; Dioscoreaceae
Source: RefSeq, a predicted model, not a curated record